RNAcentral lists this unclassified non-coding RNA (520 nucleotides) under uncultured Glomus. RNAcentral describes it as "SSU rRNA". It matches the Rfam family "Eukaryotic small subunit ribosomal RNA", at positions 569 to 1097 of the family's 1831-position model. The record is from RNAcentral. Lineage: Eukaryota; Fungi; Glomeromycota; Glomeromycetes; Glomerales; Glomeraceae.
AGCAGCCGCGGUAAUUCCAGCUCCAAUAGCGUAUAUUAAAGUUGCUGCAGUUAAAAGCUCGUAGUUGAAUUUCGGGACUAAUAUGUCGGUCGUGCCUCGGUACGUACUGGCUUAUUGGUUUCUCCUUUCUGAAGAACCAUGAUGUCAUUUAUUUGGUGUCGUGGGGAAUCAGGACUGUUACUUUGAAAAAUUAGAGUGUUUAAAGCAGGCUUACGCUUGAAUACAUUAGCGUGGAAUAAUGAAAUAGGACGUUUGAUUCUAUUUUGUUGGUUUCUAGGAUCGACGUAAUGAUUAAUAGGGAUAGUUGGGGGCAUUAGUAUUCAAUUGUCAGAGGUGAAAUUCUUGGAUUUAUUGAAGACUAACUACUGCGAAAGCAUUUGCCAAGGAUGUUUUCAUUAAUCAAGAACGAAAGUUAGGAGAUCGAAGACGAUCAGAUACCGUCGUAGUCUUAACCAUAAACUAUGCCGCUAGGGAUCGGAUGAUGUUAAUUUUUAUGACUCAUUCGGCGCCUUACGGGAAA